RNAcentral lists this ribosomal RNA (257 nucleotides) under uncultured bacterium. Its description in RNAcentral is "partial 16S ribosomal RNA". It matches the Rfam family "Bacterial small subunit ribosomal RNA", at positions 524 to 776 of the family's 1533-position model. The record is from RNAcentral.
UACGUAGGGUGCGAGCGUUGUCCGGAAUUAUUGGGCGUAAAGAGCUCGUAGGCGGUCUGUCGCGUCUGCUGUGAAAUCCCGAGGCUCAACCUCGGGCUUGCAGUGGGUACGGGCAGACUAGAGUGCGGUAGGGGUGACUGGAAUUCCUGGGUGUAGCGGUGGAAUGCGCAGAUAUCAGGAGGAACACCGAUGGCGAAGGCAGGUCACUGGGCCGCAACUGACGCUGGAGGAAGCGGAAAGCAUGGGGAGCGAACAGG